AGUGAACGCUGGCGGUAGGCCUAACACAUGCAAGUCGAACGGCAGCACAGUAAGAGCUUGCUCUUACGGGUGGCGAGUGGCGGACGGGUGAGGAAUACAUCGGAAUCUACUUUUUCGUGGGGGAUAACGUAGGGAAACUUACGCUAAUACCGCAUACGACCUACGGGUGAAAGCAGGGGAUCUUCGGACCUUGCGCGAUUGAAUGAGCCGAUGUCGGAUUAGCUAGUUGGCGGGGUAAGGGCCCACCAAGGCGACGAUCCGUAGCUGGUCUGAGAGGAUGAUCAGCCACACUGGAACUGAGACACGGUCCAGACUCCUACGGGAGGCAGCAGUGGGGAAUAUUGGACAAUGGGCGCAAGCCUGACCGAGCCAUACCGCGUGAGUGAAGAAGGCCUUCGGGUUGUAAAGCCCUGUUAUUGGGAAAGAAAAGCAGCAGGUUAAUACCCCGAUGUUCUGACGGUACCUAAAGAAUAAGCACCGGCUAACUUCGUG
RNAcentral lists this ribosomal RNA (492 nucleotides) under uncultured bacterium. RNAcentral's name for it is "partial 16S ribosomal RNA". It matches the Rfam family "Bacterial small subunit ribosomal RNA", at positions 29 to 507 of the family's 1533-position model. The record is from RNAcentral.